AUAUAGCUCAGGGGCAUAAGCAUCUGCCUGGCAAGCACAAGGUCCUGAGUUCGAUUCCCAGUAU
This 64-nucleotide transfer RNA is filed under the name Cavia porcellus (domestic guinea pig). It matches the Rfam family "tRNA", at positions 5 to 66 of the family's 71-position model. From Rfam's summary of the family: Transfer RNA (tRNA) molecules are approximately 80 nucleotides in length. Their secondary structure includes four short double-helical elements and three loops (D, anti-codon, and T loops). Further hydrogen bonds mediate the characteristic L-shaped molecular structure. tRNAs have two regions of fundamental functional importance: the anti-codon, which is responsible for specific mRNA codon recognition, and the 3' end, to which the tRNAs corresponding amino acid is attached (by aminoacyl-tRNA synthetases). tRNAs cope with the degeneracy of the genetic code in two manners: having more than one tRNA (with a specific anti-codon) for a particular amino acid; and 'wobble' base-pairing, i.e. permitting non-standard base-pairing at the 3rd anti-codon position. The record is from Rfam by way of RNAcentral. Lineage: Eukaryota; Metazoa; Chordata; Mammalia; Rodentia; Caviidae.